Oreochromis aureus is the source of this 55-nucleotide microRNA precursor. Lineage: Eukaryota; Metazoa; Chordata; Actinopteri; Cichliformes; Cichlidae. The record is from Ensembl.
AUCGCCAGAGCUCUUAAUGUCCCAAAACAGCGACAUGAGAGCGCUGACGAGUUGA